CUGGGUUUUCCCCUUGACCUGUAGUUGAGACCACAAAGAUCACAAUUUCUUGGUCCGGUAGAGAACUAGGGUCAAAAUCAUCAACAGAGAGCAACAAGACGGGGCAUCCUCUACGCUCAGCUUCACGGCCAAGACGCUCAGCGGCGUCUAUAGCAUUACCAGUCUCAGAUGCAUAUAAAAUUAAUAGCUUCUUUGGCUUCUCCUCCAUCACCAUUGAUCAGUUACUGCAGUUGAAGGGUCUUUUGGAAUUCAACAAGAUACUAACGGAACGAUAGUCGUAG
Molecule: unclassified non-coding RNA, 281 nt
Filed under: Hevea brasiliensis (rubber tree)
Lineage: Eukaryota; Viridiplantae; Streptophyta; Magnoliopsida; Malpighiales; Euphorbiaceae
Source: RNAcentral